UCAGGAUGAACGCUAGCGACAGGCUUAACACAUGCAAGUCGAGGGGCAGCACGGGAGUAGCAAUACAACUGGUGGCGACCGGCGCACGGGUGAGUAACGCGUAUGCAAACCUACCUAUCGAGACGGGGAAUAACCCGGCGAAAGUCGGACUAAUACCGCAUAAAACAGGGGCACCGCAUGGUGAUAUUUGUUAAAGAAAUUCGCUGAUAGAUGGGCAUGCGUUCCAUUAGGUAGUUGGUGAGGUAACGGCUCACCAAGCCGACGAUGGAUAGGGGAACUGAGAGGUUGGUCCCCCACACUGGUACUGAGACACGGACCAGACUCCUACGGGAGGCAGCAGUGAGGAAUAUUGGUCAAUGGGCGAGAGCCUGAACCAGCCAAGUCGCGUGAAGGAAGAAGGAUCUAUGGUUCGUAAACUUCUUUUGCAGGGGAAUAAAGUGCGGGACGUGUCCUGUUUUGUAUGUACCCUGAGAAUAAGGAUCGGCUAACUCCGUGCCAGCAGCCGC
This 506-nucleotide ribosomal RNA is filed under the name uncultured bacterium. Its description in RNAcentral is "bacterial SSU rRNA". It matches the Rfam family "Bacterial small subunit ribosomal RNA", at positions 24 to 518 of the family's 1533-position model. The record is from RNAcentral.